RNAcentral lists this ribosomal RNA (460 nucleotides) under uncultured bacterium. Its description in RNAcentral is "partial 16S ribosomal RNA". It matches the Rfam family "Bacterial small subunit ribosomal RNA", at positions 338 to 795 of the family's 1533-position model. The record is from RNAcentral.
CCUACGGGAGGCAGCAGUGAGGAAUAUUGGUCAAUGGACGAGAGUCUGAACCAGCCAAGUAGCGUGAAGGAUGACUGCCCUAUGGGUUGUAAACUUCUUUUAUAUGGGAAUAAAACGUUCCACGUGUGGGAUUUUGUAUGUACCAUAUGAAUAAGGAUCGGCUAACUCCGUGCCAGCAGCCGCGGUAAUACGGAGGAUCCGACCGUUAUCCGGAUUUAUUGGGUUUAAAGGGAGCGUAGGUGGAUUGUUAAGUCAGUUGUGAAAGUUUGCGGCUCAACCGUAAAAUUGCAGUUGAAUCUGGCAGUCUUGAGUACAGUAGAGGUGGGCGGAAUUCGUGGUGUAGCGGUGAAAUGCUUAGAUAUCACGAAGAACUCCGAUUGCGAAGGCAGUUCACUGGACUGCAACUGACACUGAGGCUCGAAAGUGUGGGUAUCAAACAGGAUUAGAUACCCCUGAAGUC